UACGAAGGGGGCUAGCGUUGCUCGGAAUUACUGGGCGUAAAGCGCACGUAGGCGGCUUUUUAAGUCGGGGGUGAAAUCCUGGAGCUCAACUCCAGAACUGCCUUCGAUACUGGAAAGCCCGAGUCCGGGAGAGGUGAGUGGAACUGCGAGUGUAGAGGUGAAAUUCGUAGAUAUUCGCAAGAACACCAGUGGCGAAGGCGGCUCACUGGCCCGGUACUGACGCUGAGGUGCGAAAGCGUGGGGAGCAAACAGG
RNAcentral lists this ribosomal RNA (253 nucleotides) under uncultured bacterium. RNAcentral describes it as "partial 16S ribosomal RNA". It matches the Rfam family "Bacterial small subunit ribosomal RNA", at positions 524 to 776 of the family's 1533-position model. The record is from RNAcentral.